This 472-nucleotide ribosomal RNA is filed under the name uncultured bacterium. Its description in RNAcentral is "bacterial SSU rRNA". It matches the Rfam family "Bacterial small subunit ribosomal RNA", at positions 328 to 793 of the family's 1533-position model. The record is from RNAcentral.
GCUGUGCACUCCUACGGGAGGCAGCAGUGGGGAAUAUUGCACAAUGGGCGCAAGCCUGAUGCAGCCAUGCCGCGUGUAUGAAGAAGGCCUUCGGGUUGUAAAGUACUUUCAGCAGUGAGGAAGGUGGAUAUGUUAAUAGCAUAUUCAUUUGACGUUAGCUGCAGAAGAAGCACCGGCUAACUCCGUGCCAGCAGCCGCGGUAAUACGGAGGGUGCGAGCGUUAAUCGGAAUUACUGGGCGUAAAGCGCAUGCAGGUGGUUUGUUAAGUCAGAUGUGAAAGCCCGGGGCUCAACCUCGGAAUUGCAUUUGAAACUGGCAAACUAGAGUACUGUAGAGGGGGUAGAAUUUCAGGUGUAGCGGUGAAAUGCGUAGAGAUCUGAAGGAAUACCGGUGGCGAAGGCGGCCCCCUGGACAGAUACUGACACUCAGAUGCGAAAGCGUGGGGAGCAAACAGGAUUAGAUACCUUGGUAG